RNAcentral lists this ribosomal RNA (301 nucleotides) under uncultured bacterium. RNAcentral describes it as "partial 16S ribosomal RNA". It matches the Rfam family "Bacterial small subunit ribosomal RNA", at positions 509 to 807 of the family's 1533-position model. The record is from RNAcentral.
CAGCAGCCACGGGAAUACGAAGGGUGCAAGCGUUACUCGGAAUUACUGGGCGUAAAGCGUGCGUAGGUGGUGGUUUAAGUCCGUUGUGAAAGCCCUGGGCUCAACCUGGGAAUUGCAGUGGAUACUGGGUCACUAGAGUGUGGUAGAGGAUAGUGGAAUUUCCGGUGUAGCAGUGAAAUGCGUAGAGAUCGGAAGGAACAUCUGUGGCGAAGGCGACUAUCUGGGCCAACACUGACACUGAGGCACGAAAGCGUGGGGAGCAAACAGGAUUAGAUACCCCCGUAGUCCCUGUCUCUUAUAC